Molecule: ribosomal RNA, 484 nt
Filed under: uncultured bacterium
Lineage: Bacteria
Description: partial 16S ribosomal RNA
Rfam family: Bacterial small subunit ribosomal RNA
Source: RNAcentral
AUUGAACGCUGGCGGCAGGCCUAACACAUGCAAGUCGAGCGGAUGAAGGGAGCUUGCUCCUGGAUUCAGCGGCGGACGGGUGAGUAAUGCCUAGGAAUCUGCCUGGUAGUGGGGGAUAACGUCCGGAAACGGGCGCUAAUACCGCAUACGUUCUGAGGGAGAAAGUGGGGGAUCUUCGGACCUCACGCUAUCAGAUGAGCCGAGGUCGGAUUAGCUAGUUGGUGGGGUAAAGGCCUACCAAGGCGACGAUCCGUAACUGGUCUGAGAGGAUGAUCAGUCACACUGGAACUGAGACACGGUCCAGACUCCUACGGGAGGCAGCAGUGGGGAAUAUUGGACAAGGGGCGAAAGCCUGAUCCAGCCAUGCCGCGUGUGUGAAGAAGGUCUUCGGAUUGUAAAGCACUUUAAGUUGGGAGGAAGGGCAGUAAGUUAAUACCUUGCUGUUUUGACGUUACCAACAGAAUAAGCACCGGCUAACUUCGUG